CCAGCAGCUGCGGUAAUUCCAGCUCCAAUAGCGUAUAUUAAAGUUGUUGCAGUUAAAAAGCUCGUAGUUGGAUCUCGGGAGCCAGCUUGUGGUACGCUUGAUUGCUGUCACUGCUUGUCUGGCCCUAAUCAAUCGGUUGGCCGUUUAUGCCCUUCACUGGGUGUUUACGGUAGCCGAUGCGUUUACUUUGAGAAAAUUAGAGUGCUUAAAGCAGGCCUUACGCCUGAAUAAUGUUGCAUGGAAUAAUAGAAUAGGACCUCGGUUCUAUUUUGUUGGUUUUGUAGAGCAUUGAGGUAAUGAUUAAUAGGGACAGACGGGGGCAUUCGUAUUGCGGUGUUAGAGGUGAAAUUCUUGGAUCGCCGCAAGACGAACAACUGCGAAAGCAUUUGCCAAGAAUGUUUUCAUUAAUCAAGAACGAAAGU
RNAcentral lists this ribosomal RNA (422 nucleotides) under uncultured eukaryote. RNAcentral describes it as "SSU rRNA". It matches the Rfam family "Eukaryotic small subunit ribosomal RNA", at positions 567 to 990 of the family's 1831-position model. The record is from RNAcentral.